RNAcentral lists this ribosomal RNA (1900 nucleotides) under human gut metagenome. RNAcentral's name for it is "bacterial LSU rRNA". It matches the Rfam family "Bacterial large subunit ribosomal RNA", at positions 3 to 1996 of the family's 2925-position model. The record is from RNAcentral.
UCAAGCGAACAAGGGCGCAGGGCGAAUGCCUUGGCACUGGGAGCCGAUGAAAGACGUGAUAAGCUGCGAUAAGCUUCGGGGAGCUGCAAAUAAGCAUUGAUCCGGAGAUUUCUGAAUGAGGAAACUCACCUGGGUUCAUACUCAGGUACGUUGUACUGAAAUUCAAAAUAGGUACAUCGGGGGAACCGCCUGAACUGAAACAUCUAAGUAGGGCGAGGAAGAGACAUCAAACGAGAUUCCGUAAGUAGUGGCGAGCGAACGCGGAAGAGGGCAAACCGGGAGUAGAAAUACUUCCGGGGUACGGACUGCUUUUAGGACUUAAUCUGUUAACCGAACGGCAUGGGAAGGCCGGUCAGAGAGUGUGAGAACCACGUAGGUGAAAACGACAAGAGCUGAGCGAUUUCCAGAGUACGGCCAGACACGUGAAACCUGGUCGGAAGAUGGGGGGACCACCCUCCAACCCUAAAUACUACCCAGUGACCGAUAGCGUAUAGUACUGUGAAGGAAAGGUGAAAAGCACCCCGGGAGGGGAGUGAAAAAGAACCUGAAACCCUGUGCCUACAAGCACCUAGAGCGCGUCAAUGCGUGAUAGGGUACUUUUUGUAGAACGGUCCGGCGAGCGAUUGUAUGCAGCAAGGUUAAGGACUUAAGGUCUGGAGCCGAAGCGAAAGCGAGUUUGAAAAGGGCGUUAAGUUGCAUAUAAUGGGCCCGAAACCGGGUGACCUACCCAUGGUCAGGUUGAAGUGGAAGUAAAAUUCCAUGGAGGACCGAACCGACCUCCGUUGAAAAGGCGGCGGAUGAACUGUGGGUAGCGGAGAAAUUCCAAUCGAACCCGGAGAUAGCUGGUUCUCCCCGAAAUAGUUUUAGGACUAGCCUCAAGUUAGAUACCUGGAGGUAAAGCACUGAAUAGCCUAGCGGCCGAGAGGUUAGCGAAGCUUAUCAAACUCAGAAUGCCAGAGUAUUGAUGCUUGGGAGUCAGACAGUGUCAGAUAAAUGUCAUUGUCAAAAGGGAAACAGCCCAGAUCUACAGCUAAGGUCCCAAAGUCAGGUUAAGUGGAAAACGAUGUGAAGAUACGCAGACAACCAGGAUGUUGGCUCAGAAGCAGCCACUCAUUCAAAGAGUGCGUAAUAGCUCACUGGUCGAGCGUCUUUGCGCGGAGAAUUUAACGGGGCUAAACCUGACACCGAAGCUUAGGCAAUCCAGUAAUGGAUUGGGUAGGGGAGCGUUGUAUACGCGGAGAAACAGUAGCGUAAGCGGCUGUGGAGUGUAUAGAAGUGAGAAUGCCGGAAUGAGUAGCGCGAAUGCAGUGAGAAUCUGCAUGGCCGAAAGCCUCAGGUUUUUGGAGGAAGGUUCGUCCGCUCCAAGUUAGUCGGGAGCUAAGGUGAGGCCGGAAGGCGUAGCCGAUGCACAGACGGUAGAGAUUCCGUCACCACCAAAAGAGUUAAGCACAGGGACACAUUUGAAGUCUCAGAGCCGGGUGUUGGUUCCGGUAGAGAUCGAGGGAAAUUAGUACCGAAGUCUGGGAUGGAAGAUGGCGAGAAAAGCUGUGUGUAUUUCUGAGGUGCCCGUACCGCAAACCGACACAGGUAGGUAGGAAGAAGAUUCUAAGGCCAACGGGAGAAGGGUUGUUAAGGAACUCGGCAAAUUGACCCCGUAACUUCGGGAGAAGGGGUGCUCCAGAGAUGGAGCCGCAGAGAAUCGGCCCAAGCAACUGUUUACCAAAAACACAGGUUUGUGCUAAAUCGAAAGAUGACGUAUACGAGCUGACGCCUGCCCGGUGCUGGAAGGUUAAGAGGAGAUGUGCAAGCAUUGAAUCGAAGCCCCAGUGAACGGCGGCCGUAACUAUAACGGUCCUAAGGUAGCGAAAUUCCUUGUCAGGUAAGUUCUGACCCGCACGAA